Non-coding RNA from Plectropomus leopardus (leopard coralgrouper), 408 nucleotides. The record is from RefSeq and is a predicted model, not a curated record. NCBI's taxonomy places the organism in Eukaryota, Metazoa, Chordata, Actinopteri, Perciformes, Serranidae.
CGGAGCUCCGUGUCCGUUUGUUAGCCCUUCUCAGCUCGUGCGGUGCCCAGAGCGCACGCUUCUGUGUUUCCUGCGAUGGAGGUCGGACGAUAACAAAUGGAGACAGUCUGAAAAAGCUCCUGGGGAAUUGAAGAUGUCUUGACUACCCGCAGAACAGAGCGGAGGACAAACAACCAGCAGAGACAGGCAUUUCAAAUCUAUACGGCGGAGAACAUAUCAUUACGUAACCAGAAUGGACAACAGUGUACCAAGAUGUCCUCAGACUUUCCCUCCGUUUUCCAGCCACCUGAUCGCACUCCACCCAGCACAGGUGUGCUGGGUGGAGUAAAAAUAGCAGCCACUUCCUGCUCCUGCUCCUAGCUGCCUGUCUGUGACCUGCUUCCUGACUUCCCCCUUUUGGAUUAAGCG